UUAAGUAAAUGGGCGAGAGUGUCAAAACUGAGAUUCAAGCAUGGUGACAAACUUCUUGAUCCGUAUCCUUAUGUUUGUAUUAUGUAUGUGGAAUGCAGUUCAUUUCAGCAAAGUGUUUUCAUCCGAAAAGAAGCAAAUUUGGAUGCUUGUAACUCUGUCAAGAAUAGAAGUGAAAUUAUAGAAGACACUGAAACAAAAGCAACAAGGAGGCAGAGGAGGGUGGAGGACCCAGCAGAGCUGUCACAGCGAGAGCCAUGUGUGGAGAGGUCAGUUUACUAGGAAAUAGUUAAUAUUUCCUCAGAAGUCUAUGCUUACAGUUUUAAUACAUUAUGGGCCUCCCUUUAAUUUCAUUGCUAUUUAAUGCGCUGUGCUGUUUGGUUUCUAUUUUCCCCCCAGAGUUAGCACUUUUCAGCAAUGUUGUUUGCAGCAGGAGUGAGAUAGUAAGAAGCUUUAUGUAUCCAUGUGAGAGGAGUAAGCAGUCAUAAGGUUCCUUUUUUUAUACCUGGGGUUGCCUACCUUUGUCAUGGGUAGUUUUUCAGAGAGAAGGGGCUGCUAUCCACAUCCUCCUGUGUAGGUGGAUGUGGCUGUAUAGAGACAAGGCUCUGCCCACAGCAGUGUACCAGCCAACAGAACUGAACCAACGCUAAAAGGAAAAUCAUUCUUCUCCAGGGAUAAAGGCUGGUAGCAAGGGGCGAACUAGCAAUCAUGUUGUGUCUCUGAGUUCCAGUCUAAUUGGUCUCCUGCAGCAGUGCAACUGCC
Gavialis gangeticus (Gharial) is the source of this 759-nucleotide long non-coding RNA. RefSeq lists it as uncharacterized. NCBI's taxonomy places the organism in Eukaryota, Metazoa, Chordata, Crocodylia, Gavialidae. The record is from RefSeq and is a predicted model, not a curated record. The transcript is spliced from 3 exons.